GACGAACGCUGGCGGCGUGCUUAACACAUGCAAGUCGAGCGGUAAGGCCCUUUCGGGGGUACACGAGCGGCGAACGGGUGAGUAACACGUGGGUGACCUGCCCUUAGCUUUGGGAUAAGCCUGGGAAACUGGGUCUAAUACCGGAUAUGACUCCAUAACGCAUGUUGUGGGGUGGAAAGCCUUGUGCGGCUAGGGAUGGGCCCGCGGCCUAUCAGCUUGUUGGUGGGGUGAUGGCCUACCAAGGCGACGACGGGUAGCCGGCCUGAGAGGGCGACCGGCCACACUGGGACUGAGACACGGCCCAGACUCCUACGGGAGGCAGCAGUGGGGAAUCUUGCGCAAUGGGCGAAAGCCUGACGCAGCGACGCCGCGUGGGGAGUGAC
This 383-nucleotide ribosomal RNA is filed under the name uncultured bacterium. RNAcentral's name for it is "bacterial SSU rRNA". It matches the Rfam family "Bacterial small subunit ribosomal RNA", at positions 28 to 412 of the family's 1533-position model. The record is from RNAcentral.